Molecule: ribosomal RNA, 515 nt
Filed under: uncultured bacterium
Lineage: Bacteria
Description: partial 16S ribosomal RNA
Rfam family: Bacterial small subunit ribosomal RNA
Source: RNAcentral
GAUGAACGCUGGCGGCGUGCCUAAUACAUGCAAGUCGAGCGAAUGGAUUAAGAGCUUGCUCUUAUGGAGUUAGCGGCGGACGGGUGAGUAACACGUGGGUAACCUGCCCAUAAGACUGGGAUAACUCCGGGAAACCGGGGCUAAUACCGGAUAACAUUUUGAACCGCAUGGUUCGAAAUUGAAAGGUGGCUUCGGCUGUCACUUAUGGAUGGACCCGCAUCGCAUUAGCUAGUUGGUGAGGUAACGGCUCACCAAGGCAACGAUGCGUAGCCGACCUGAGAGGGUGAUCGGCCACACUGGGACUGAGACACGGCCCAGACUCCUACGGGAGGCAGCAGUAGGGAAUCUUCCGCAAUGGACGAAAGUCUGACGGAGCAACGCCGCGUGAGUGAUGAAGGCUUUCGGGUCGUAAAACUCUGUUGUUAGGGAAGAACAAGUGCUAGUUGAAUAAGCUGGCACCUUGACGGUACCUAACCAGAAAGCCACGGCUAACUACGUGCCAGCCGCCGCAGUAA